Molecule: unclassified non-coding RNA, 99 nt
Organism: Aotus nancymaae (Ma's night monkey)
Lineage: Eukaryota; Metazoa; Chordata; Mammalia; Primates; Aotidae
Rfam family: Y RNA
About the family: Y RNAs are components of the Ro ribonucleoprotein particle (Ro RNP), in association with Ro60 and La proteins. The Y RNAs and Ro60 and La proteins are well conserved, but the function of the Ro RNP is not known.
Source: Ensembl
GGCUGGUCUGAGUGCAGUGGUGUUUACAACUAAUUGAUCACAACCAAUUACAGAUUUCUUUGUUCCUUCUCCACUCCCACUGCUUUUGACUAGCCUUAA